AAGAGUUGCAAAACUCCCUAAACCCUUGUGAAUCUACCUGUUUGUUGCUUCGGCAGGCAGCCCCAGGGCGGGGCUAUGGCCUGUUUUCAGGUGCCUGCCGAAGGUUUUUCAAAACUCGUUUUUACCGGUUAUCUGAGUAUCAAGAAAAUAAAUCA
RNAcentral lists this unclassified non-coding RNA (155 nucleotides) under uncultured Sordariomycetes. Its description in RNAcentral is "sequence contains ITS1". The record is from RNAcentral. Lineage: Eukaryota; Fungi; Ascomycota; Sordariomycetes.